Molecule: ribosomal RNA, 422 nt
Filed under: uncultured bacterium
Lineage: Bacteria
Description: bacterial SSU rRNA
Rfam family: Bacterial small subunit ribosomal RNA
Source: RNAcentral
UAAGGAAUAUUGGUCAAUGGACGCAAGUCUGGACCAGCCAUGCCGCGUGGAGGAUGAAGGUCCUCUGGAUUGUAAACUUCUUUUAUCUGGGACGAAACACUCCUAUUCUUAGGGGCCUGACGGUACCAGAUGAAUAAGCACCGGCUAACUCCGUGCCAGCAGCCGCGGUAAUACGGAGGGUGCAAGCGUUAUCCGGAUUCACUGGGUUUAAAGGGUGCGUAGGUGGGUAUGUAAGUCAGUGGUGAAAUCCCCGAGCUUAACUUGGGAACUGCCGUUGAUACUAUAUAUCUUGAAUGCCGUAGAGGUAAGCGGAACAUGUCGUGUAGCGGUGAAAUGCUUAGAGAUGACAUAGAACACCAAUUGCGAAGGCAGCUUACUAUGCGGUGAUUGACACUGAUGCACGAAAGCGUGGGUAGCAAACA